RNAcentral lists this small RNA (77 nucleotides) under Xanthomonas arboricola. RNAcentral's name for it is "sX9 sRNA". It matches the Rfam family "Xanthomonas sRNA sX9". The record is from RNAcentral. Lineage: Bacteria; Pseudomonadati; Pseudomonadota; Gammaproteobacteria; Lysobacterales; Lysobacteraceae.
ACGAACCGCUCGUGCGCUCCGGUUCUGAGCGCGCCGUCCGCAUCUGCCUGACGACCGCUGGCUACGUUUCGUUGGCC